GAUGAACGCUGGCGGCGUGCUUAACACAUGCAAGUCGAACGGACAGGCCCUGCUUUUGUGGGGUGCUCGAUUGGCGAACGGGUGAGUAACACGUGAGUAACCUGCCCUUGUCUUUGGGAUAACUUUUGGGAACUCGGGCUCUUACACGAUAUGAGCUCCUGCUCCAUGUUGGGGGUUGGAAAGUUUCGGCGGUUGGGGAUGGACUCGCGGCUUAUCAGCCUGUUGGUGUGGUAGUGGCUUACCAAGGCUUCGACGGGUAGCCGGCCUGAGAGGGUGACCGGACACAUUGGGACUAAGAUACGGCCCAGAAUGCAACGGGAGGCAGCAGUGGGGAAUAUUGCACAAUGGGCGGAAGCGAGAUACAGCAACGCCGGGAGCGGGAUGACGGGCUACGGGUGGUAAACAGAUUUCGACUGUGACGAAGCGUGAGUGACGGUAAUGGGUAAAGAAGCACCGGCUAACUACGUG
Molecule: ribosomal RNA, 468 nt
Filed under: uncultured bacterium
Lineage: Bacteria
Description: partial 16S ribosomal RNA
Rfam family: Bacterial small subunit ribosomal RNA
Source: RNAcentral